UGUGUGUGUAUACCAGUGCCCGGGGAUUAUUCAUGAAGCUGUUCCCUUCUAGACCUGGAGUGCAAGAUCGCCCGGAUACAUCUGACGUCGGCAUUGUUGAGAGGAGGCAGCUCAAGGGUAACAAAAAGAAGCAAAAUAAAACCCCGCCGGGAACGUAAAUGAUGUCUGCUAAAUAAAGUGGCGCAGAGCAAAAGUUUCUCCACAACUGCAAUAAAAGAUGGAAGGACGGCGCCUCUUGCAGUGUCCCUAUGUUCUUAUGUUCUUAUGUGACCUCUCGUGGAGCUCCUCUGUACGUAG
Molecule: long non-coding RNA, 297 nt
Organism: Eriocheir sinensis (Chinese mitten crab)
Lineage: Eukaryota; Metazoa; Arthropoda; Malacostraca; Decapoda; Varunidae
Exons: 3
Source: RefSeq, a predicted model, not a curated record